The sequence is a transfer RNA, 76 nucleotides long. It matches the Rfam family "tRNA". From Rfam's summary of the family: Transfer RNA (tRNA) molecules are approximately 80 nucleotides in length. Their secondary structure includes four short double-helical elements and three loops (D, anti-codon, and T loops). The record is from Rfam.
GGGGCCGUAGUCUAGCCUGGACUAGGACGCAAGGCUUGGGCCCUUGUGGUCGCGGGUUCAAAUCCCGCCGGCCCCA